Molecule: long non-coding RNA, 300 nt
Filed under: Mytilus galloprovincialis (Mediterranean mussel)
Lineage: Eukaryota; Metazoa; Mollusca; Bivalvia; Mytilida; Mytilidae
Source: RNAcentral
UAGAAAUGUUAGAUACCUUAAUUAUUUGUAAUUUUGGCAAGGACAAUUCAUCACGUCCCCUGAAAACAUGAUUUUGUAAAAUAUCACUUAUUGGCAUCUCCGGGCGGCAAGCCAGAUUAAUUUCCUGAUAAUCUUUACUACAGCAUUCUGAUUGUUAUUAAUUGCUACAUAUUACCGCUUUUUUGUAAAUCGAUGUUUGUUUACAUUAUCAACAAAUGUGAGUAACAUUCUAGGUCGAGUUGUCGUUCGUGGUGUAUAGUUUGUUCCAAACCAUUGUUUGUUUCUGGUACAGGUUGGCAG